UUCAUUAACAGAGAAAUGUUUGAUCCGGCAGAAAAGUACAAAAUGGACCACAGGAGGAGAGGAAUUGCUUUAAUCUUCAAUCAUGAGAGGUUCUUUUGGCACUUAACACUGCCAGAAAGGCGGGGCACCUGCGCAGAUAGAGACAAUCUUACCCGCAGGUUUUCAGAUCUAGGAUUUGAAGUGAAAUGCUUUAACGAUCUUAAAGCGGAAGAACUACUGCUCAAAAUUCAUGAGGUGUCAACUGUUAGCCACGCAGAUGCCGAUUGCUUUGUGUGUGUCUUCCUGAGCCAUGGCGAAGGCAACCACAUUUAUGCGUAUGAUGCUAAAAUCGAAAUUCAGACAUUAACUGGCUUGUUCAAAGGAGACAAGUGUCACAGCCUGGUUGGAAAACCCAAGAUAUUUAUCAUUCAGGCAUGUCGGGGAAACCAGCACGAUGUGCCAGUCAUUCCUUUGGAUGUAGUAGAUAAUCAGACAGACAAGUUGGAUACCAACAUAACUGAGGUGGAUGCAGCCUCCGUUUACACUCUGCCUGCUGGAGCUGAC
RNAcentral lists this small RNA (543 nucleotides) under Pongo abelii (Sumatran orangutan). RNAcentral describes it as "retained intron". The record is from RNAcentral. Lineage: Eukaryota; Metazoa; Chordata; Mammalia; Primates; Hominidae.